UACGGGGGGAGCAAGCGUUGUUCGGAUUUACUGGGCGUAAAGGGCGCGUAGGCGGUUUGUCGCGUCUGCUGUGAAAACCUAAGGCUCAACCUUGGGCUUGCAGUGGGUACGGGCAGACUGGAGUGCGGUAGGGGUGACUGGAAUUCCUGGUGUAGCGGUGGAAUGCGCAGAUAUCAGGAGGAACACCGAUGGCGAAGGCAGCUCACUGGGACGGUACUGACGCUGAGGCGCGAAAGCGUGGGGAGCAAACAGG
Molecule: ribosomal RNA, 253 nt
Filed under: uncultured bacterium
Lineage: Bacteria
Description: partial 16S ribosomal RNA
Rfam family: Bacterial small subunit ribosomal RNA
Source: RNAcentral